AGUUGAUCCUGCUCAGGACGACCGCUGUCGGCGUGCUUAAUCAUGCAAGUCGAGCGGACAGAAGGGAGCUUGCUCCCGGAUGUUACGGCGGACGGGUGAGUAACACGUGGGUAACCUGCCUGUAAGACUGGGAUAACUCCGGGAAACCGGAGCUAAUACCGGAUAGUUCCUUGAACCGCAUGGUUCAAGGAUGAAAGACGGUUUCGGCUGUCACUUACAGAUGGACCCGCGGCGCAUUAGCUAGUUGGUGAGGUAACGGCUCACCAAGGCGACGAUGCGUAGCCGACCUGAGAGGGUGAUCGGCCACACUGGGACUGAGACACGGCCCAGACUCCUACGGGAGGCAGCAGUAGGGAAUCUUCCGCAAUGGACGAAAGUCUGACGGAGCAACGCCGCGUGAGUGAUGAAGGUUUUCGGAUCGUAAAGCUCUGUUGUUAGGGAAGAACAAGUGCAAGAGUAACUGCUUGCACCUUACGGUACCUAACCAGAAA
This 491-nucleotide ribosomal RNA is filed under the name Bacillus altitudinis. RNAcentral describes it as "bacterial SSU rRNA". It matches the Rfam family "Bacterial small subunit ribosomal RNA", at positions 10 to 489 of the family's 1533-position model. Lineage: Bacteria; Bacillati; Bacillota; Bacilli; Caryophanales; Bacillaceae. The record is from RNAcentral.